GAUGAACGCUGGCGGCGUGCCUAAUACAUGCAAGUAGAACGCUGAAGGAGGAGCUUGCUCUUCUGGAUGAGUUGCGAACGGGUGAGUAACGCGUAGGUAACCUGCCUGGUAGCGGGGGAUAACUAUUGGAAACGAUAGCUAAUACCGCAUGACAACAGUUAUUGCAUGAUAACUGUUUAAAAGGGGCAACUGCUCCACUACCAGAUGGACCUGCGUUGUAUUAGCUAGUUGGUGAGGUAACGGCUCACCAAGGCGACGAUACAUAGCCGACCUGAGAGGGUGAUCGGCCACACUGGGACUGAGACACGGCCCAGACUCCUACGGGAGGAAGCAGUAGGGAAUCUUCGGAAAUGGACGGAAGUCUGACCGAGCAACGCCGCGUGAGUGAAGAAGGGUUUCGGAUCGUAAAGCUCUGUUGUAAGAGAAGAACGAGUGUGAGAGUGGAAAGUUCACACUGUGACGGUAUCUUACCAGAAAGGGACGGCUAACUACGUG
RNAcentral lists this ribosomal RNA (495 nucleotides) under uncultured bacterium. RNAcentral's name for it is "partial 16S ribosomal RNA". It matches the Rfam family "Bacterial small subunit ribosomal RNA", at positions 28 to 507 of the family's 1533-position model. The record is from RNAcentral.